RNAcentral lists this ribosomal RNA (468 nucleotides) under uncultured bacterium. RNAcentral describes it as "partial 16S ribosomal RNA". It matches the Rfam family "Bacterial small subunit ribosomal RNA", at positions 28 to 507 of the family's 1533-position model. The record is from RNAcentral.
GAUGAACGCUGGCGGCGUGCUUAACACAUGCAAGUCGAACGGUGAAGGCGGAGCUUGCUCUGCUGGAUCAGUGGCGAACGGGUGAGUAACACGUGAGCAAUCUGCCCCUGACUCUGGGAUAAGCGCUGGAAACGGCGUCUAAUACUGGAUACGAGCUGCGAAGGCAUCUUCAGCAGCUGGAAAGAACUUCGGUCAGGGAUGAGCUCGCGGCCUAUCAGCUUGUUGGUGAGGUAACGGCUCACCAAGGCGUCGACGGGUAGCCGGCCUGAGAGGGUGACCGGCCACACUGGGACUGAGACACGGCCCAGACUCCUACGGGAGGCAGCAGUGGGGAAUAUUGCACAAUGGGCGAAAGCCUGAUGCAGCAACGCCGCGUGAGGGACGACGGCUUUCGGGUUGUAAACCUCUUUUAGCAGGGAAGAAGCGAAAGUGACGGUACCUGCAGAAAAAGCGCCGGCUAACUACGUG